UGUGGCUGGGGGUGAAAGGCCAAUCAAACCGGGAGAUAGCUGGUUCUCCCCGAAAUCUAUUUAGGUAGAGCCUCGGACGAAUUCCAUUGGGGGUAGAGCACUGUUAAGGCUAGGGGGUCAUCCCGACUUACCAACCCUUUGCAAACUCCGAAUACCAAUGAGAACUAUCCGGGAGACACACGGCGGGUGCUAACGUCCGUCGUGGAGAGGGAAACAACCCAGACCGCCAGCUAAGGUCCCAAAAUAUUGCUAAGUGGGAAACGAUGUGGGAAGGCAUAGACAGCUAGGAGGUUGGCUUAGAAGCAGCCACCCUUUAAAGAAAGCGUAAUAGCUCACUAGUCGAGUCGGCCUGCGCGGAAGAUGUAACGGGGCUAAGCAAUAUACCGAAGCUGCGGCAGCAUGUUUACAUGCUGGGUAGGGGAGCGUUGUGUAAGUGGAUGAAGGUGAGUUGUAAAGCUUGCUGGACAUAUCACAAGUGCGAAUGCUGACAUGAGUAACGAUAAUGGGAGUGAAAAACUCCCACGCCGGAAGACCAAGGUUUCCUGUCCCAUGCUAAUCAGGGCAGGGUAAGUCGGCCCCUAAGGCGAGGCAGAAAUGCGUAGUCGAUGGGAAACGGGUUAAUAUUCCCGUACUUAUAUAAUCAGUGAUGGAGGGACGGAGAAGGCUAGGCAAGCUUGGCGUUGGUUGUCCAAGUGAAAGUGAGUAGGCUGAAGACUUAGGUAAAUCCGGGUUUUCAAGGCCGAGACACGAGACGAGCUCCCAAGGGAGUGAAGUUGUUGAUGCCCUGCUUCCAGGAAAAGCUUCUAAACUUAUGAUUAUAUGAACCGUACCCCAAACCGACACAGGUGGUCAGGUAGAGAAUACUAAGGCGCUUGAGAGAACUCGGGUGAAGGAACUCGGCAAAAUUGUACCGUAACUUCGGGAGAAGGUACGCCUCUGUUUGUGAACACUUCGCGUGGUAAGCAAAUGGAGGCCGCAGUGACCAGGUGGCUGGGACUGUUUAUUAAAAACACAGCACUCUGCAAACUCGUAAGAGGACGUAUAGGGUGUGACACCUGCCCGGUGCCGGAAGGUUAAUUGAUGGGGUUAGUUUUCGGACGAAGCUCUUGAUCGAAGCCCCGGUAAACGGCGGCCGUAACUAUAACGGUCCUAAGGUAGCGAAAUUCCUUGUCGGGUAAGUUCCGACCUGCACGAAUGGUGUAACCAUGGCCACGCUGUCUCCACCCGAGACUCAGUGAAAUUGAAAUCGCAGUGAAGAUGCUGUGUACCCGCACCUAGACGGAAAGACCCCGUGAACCUUUACUACAGCUUGGCACUGAACAUUGAACCUACAUGUGUAGGAUAGGUGGGAGGCUUUGAAGCACAGUCGCUAGAUUGUGUGGAGCCGUCCUUGAAAUACCACCCUUGUAUGUUUGAUGUUCUAACAUUGUUCCCUUAUCGGGAAUGUGGACAGUGUCUGGUGGGUAGUUUGACUGGGGCGGUCUCCUCCCAAAUAGUAACGGAGGAGCACGAAGGUUAGCUAAUCACGGUCGGACAUCGUGAGGUUAGUGCAAUGGCAUAAGCUAGCUUAACUGCGAGACAGACACGUCGAGCAGGUACGAAAGUAGGUCAUAGUGAUCCGGUGGUUCUGUAUGGAAGGGCCAUCGCUCAACGGAUAAAAGGUACUCCGGGGAUAACAGGCUGAUACCGCCCAAGAGUUCAUAUCGACGGCGGUGUUUGGCACCUCGAUGUCGGCUCAUCACAUCCUGGGGCUGAAGUCGGUCCCAAGGGUAUGGCUGUUCGCCAUUUAAAGUGGUACGCGAGCUGGGUUUAGAACGUCGUGAGACAGUUCGGUCCCUAUCUGGUGUGGGCGUUGGAUGAUUGAUGGGAGCUGCUCCUAGUACGAGAGGACCGGAGUGGACGAACCGCUGGUGUUCGGGUUGUCAUGCCAAUGGCAUUGCCCGGUAGCUAUGUUCGGAACGGAUAACCGCUGAAAGCAUCUAAGCGGGAAGCCGGCCCAAAGAUGAGUCAUCCCUGAACUUUAAGUUCUGGAAGGGUUGUUAUAGACGAUGACGUUGAUAGGCAGGGUGUGGAAGCGUUGUAAGGCGUUAAGCUAACCUGUACUAAUUGCCCGAGAGGCUUAACCAUACAACGCCCAAGAAGCUUU
This 2146-nucleotide ribosomal RNA is filed under the name Alteromonas macleodii. RNAcentral's name for it is "bacterial LSU rRNA". It matches the Rfam family "Bacterial large subunit ribosomal RNA", at positions 810 to 2925 of the family's 2925-position model. Lineage: Bacteria; Pseudomonadati; Pseudomonadota; Gammaproteobacteria; Alteromonadales; Alteromonadaceae. The record is from RNAcentral.